This is a long non-coding RNA of Oncorhynchus tshawytscha (Chinook salmon), 321 nucleotides long. Lineage: Eukaryota; Metazoa; Chordata; Actinopteri; Salmoniformes; Salmonidae. The record is from Ensembl.
AAUAGAUCCACUACCCAUCCUCAUCCCCCAGGACAGGUUUACAAUAGAUCCACUACUCAUCCUCAUCCCCCAGGACAGGUUCACAAUAGAGUCACUACCCAUACUCAUCCCCCAGGACAGGUUCACAAUAGAUCCCCUACCCAUCCUCAUCCCCCAGAACAGGUUCACAAUAGAUCCACUACUCAUCCUCAUCCCCCAGCACAGGUUCACAAUAGAUCCACUGCCCAUCCUCAUCCCCCAGGACAGGUUCACAAUAGAUCCACUACCCAUCCUCAUCCCCCAGGACAGGUUCACAAUAGAUCCACUGCCCAUCCUCAUCCC